RNAcentral lists this transfer RNA (72 nucleotides) under Camelus bactrianus (Bactrian camel). It matches the Rfam family "tRNA". From Rfam's summary of the family: Transfer RNA (tRNA) molecules are approximately 80 nucleotides in length. Their secondary structure includes four short double-helical elements and three loops (D, anti-codon, and T loops). The record is from Rfam by way of RNAcentral. RNAcentral also lists the same sequence under 2 other names. Lineage: Eukaryota; Metazoa; Chordata; Mammalia; Artiodactyla; Camelidae.
GAGGGUAGAGCUCAGUGGUAGAGCAUGCGCUUAGCAUGCAUGAGGUCCUGGGUUCCAUCUCCAGUACCCCCA